GGCAAAAGCUCAAAUUUGAAAUCGGCCCCCAGGUCGAGUUGUUAAUUUGUAGAUUGUAUCUUGAGAGCGGAUUAAAGUCUGUUGGAACACAGCGCCUUAGAGGGUGACAGCCCCGUAAAAUCUAUUCUCAUUGUAAGAUACUUUCGAAGAGUCGAGUUGUUUGGGAAUGCAGCUCUAAGUGGGAGGUAAAUUCCUUCUAAAGCUAAAUAUUGACGAGAGACCGAUAGCGAACAAGUACUGUGAAGGAAAGAUGAAAAGCACUUUGAAAAGAGAGUGAAAAAGUACGUGAAAUUGUUAAAAGGGAAGGGUAUUGAAUCAGACUUGGUGCUGUUGUUCAACUGUGUUUCGGCAUAGUGUACUCAGCAGUACUAGGCCAAGGUGGGGUGUUUGGGAGUGAAAAAGAAGUAGGAACGUAACUCUUCGGAGUGUUAUAGCCUACUUUCAUAGCUCCUCAGGCGCCUCAGGACUGCGCUUCGGCAAGGACCUUGGCAUAAUGAUUCUAUACCGCCCGUCUUGAAACACGGACCAAGGAGA
RNAcentral lists this ribosomal RNA (534 nucleotides) under Geotrichum candidum. RNAcentral describes it as "partial large subunit ribosomal RNA". It matches the Rfam family "Eukaryotic large subunit ribosomal RNA", at positions 100 to 674 of the family's 3401-position model. Lineage: Eukaryota; Fungi; Ascomycota; Dipodascomycetes; Dipodascales; Dipodascaceae. The record is from RNAcentral.